AUUUACAUAGUAUAAAAAUUAUAAUUGACUUCCAAUCAAAAGAUCUAAAAUCCUAGUGUAAAUA
RNAcentral lists this transfer RNA (64 nucleotides) under Hemipeplus sp. HEM01. RNAcentral describes it as "tRNA-Gly". The record is from RNAcentral. Lineage: Eukaryota; Metazoa; Arthropoda; Insecta; Coleoptera; Mycteridae.